ACUCGAUAUAUUUACAAAUUCUCAUUACAUAAUAAUGCCGACCUUUGCUCCACUGAUCAAUUUCACUGCAAGAAACCCUUUUUGCCUUUAUCAGCAAAUAUCGCUAUAAGCCUAAUUUCGCAACUUUUACAGGCCUUAAAAUAUCCGUCGGUCACGGACAUUGUCCGACCCAUUCGUGAAAUUGUCCGACGUAGAGAAGAAACCACCGGACAUUCUGUCCGACCAAAGUGAAACUGAGGUUUAUUGUUUGUCCGACCCGAGUGUAUUGGUGUCCGACCGAACUGUAGCUUUGUCCAACGUAAAUCAAAAUGUACCCUAGCCCAG
Molecule: non-coding RNA, 324 nt
Organism: Paramuricea clavata
Lineage: Eukaryota; Metazoa; Cnidaria; Anthozoa; Malacalcyonacea; Plexauridae
Source: the annotation of a GenBank genome assembly